CAUUACAGCCACACCAGUGUGAAUGCACCCGAUCUCGUCUGAUCUCGGAAAGUGAAACACACUUGGUCUCGGCCAGUAUUUGGAUGGGAGACCACCUAGGAACCCUGAAAGCUUUAGCCA
Molecule: ribosomal RNA, 120 nt
Filed under: Erpetoichthys calabaricus (reedfish)
Lineage: Eukaryota; Metazoa; Chordata; Cladistia; Polypteriformes; Polypteridae
Source: RNAcentral